RNAcentral lists this signal recognition particle RNA (100 nucleotides) under Candidatus Zixiibacteriota bacterium. Its description in RNAcentral is "signal recognition particle sRNA small type". It matches the Rfam family "Bacterial small signal recognition particle RNA". Rfam says of the family: The signal recognition particle (SRP) is a universally conserved ribonucleoprotein involved in the co-translational targeting of proteins to membranes. Archaeal SRP consists of a 7S RNA and homologues of the eukaryotic SRP19 and SRP54 proteins. The record is from RNAcentral. Lineage: Bacteria; Pseudomonadati; Candidatus Zixiibacteriota.
UUUCGGGUCCUGUACAGCGUCGGCCUGCCAAACCCCGCCAGGACCGGAAGGUAGCAACGGUAGGCAACGUCGUCGUGUGAUACAGCCACGCCUGAGAAAG